GUGAAGAACGCAGCGAAAUGCGAUAAGUAAUGUGAAUUGCAGAAUUCAGUGAAUCAUCGAAUCUUUGAACGCACAUUGCGCCCGCCAGUAUUCUGGCGGGCAUGCCUGUUCGAGCGUCAUUACAACCCUCAGGCCCCCGGGCCUGGCGUUGGGGAUCGGCAGAAGCCCCCUGUGGGCACACGCCGUCCCUCAAAUACAGUGGCGGUCCCGCCGCAGCUUCCAUUGCGUAGUAGCUAACACCUCGCAACUGGAGAGCGGCGCGGCCAUGCCGUAAAACACCCAACUUCUGAAUGUUGACCUCGAAUCAGGUAGGAAUACCCGCUGAACUUAAGCAUAUCAAUAAGCGGAGGA
RNAcentral lists this unclassified non-coding RNA (351 nucleotides) under soil metagenome. RNAcentral's name for it is "partial contains 5.8S ribosomal RNA, internal transcribed spacer 2, and large subunit ribosomal RNA". The stretch from base 2 to 119 matches the Rfam family "5.8S ribosomal RNA", at positions 37 to 154 of the family's 154-position model. The record is from RNAcentral.